Molecule: long non-coding RNA, 765 nt
Filed under: Chinchilla lanigera (long-tailed chinchilla)
Lineage: Eukaryota; Metazoa; Chordata; Mammalia; Rodentia; Chinchillidae
Description: lncRNA (ENSCLAG00000023616.1)
Source: RNAcentral
AGCCUACUGGCAUGUAAAAGUCUGCCAGAACACCUAGAACUAUCCUUGGCAGACCUUUGAGGAAGAGAGGGCAAUGGCAUCACCCCUACCAACUCCCCCAGGCUCAGAGGAUGAGAUGCCAGCAGGAGGGCAGUCCUGGGAUGUCUUGGAGCCUAGCCAGCCUCCUGUAGACCUCUAAGCCUCGCAAGAGUCCCACUGCCUGGAUCCUGAGACUUAGCCAACACCCAAACGCUGUCCAUCUACAACUCAUCCUGGGCAUCCUAUUCGAGGCACCACCUGGGAGGACUCUUCCUCGUCUAGCAGUGGGGACUGGGAGAUGAGUGCCCUAGCAGGAUCUGUGGACCCCAUCCUGCUUAAUUCUGCCUAUGGACAUAAUGUGGGAGCUGCUGCACACAGAGAAGGAACUGCAACCCAGCGAUAAGACACCCGGACAGGAUGACUGUGACCCAGAAGUUCUUCAGAUGGGCUAUCAAAAAACAAUUGGAUCUAAGAGUGACCACAAGACAACCUCUAACUUCAUUAUAAUCUCACCUACAUACUGCUAAGUGACAUACACCCCAGCACUGUGACAGGUGACUAUCUCCAUAAUGACAACCAGAAAGAACUAGAAGAGGCAGUGUCCAAAUUCCCAGAAAAUCUACAUCUACUUCCAGAAAGACAUGAAUUUUCCUCCCCUUCUUAUCCUGUCGCUCUCCCUCUUCUCCUGUUCUCUGUAUAACUCCCACUUCUCUUAUUCUCCACCAAGAAUAAAAUCACCCUUUCUGC